Molecule: ribosomal RNA, 462 nt
Filed under: uncultured bacterium
Lineage: Bacteria
Description: partial 16S ribosomal RNA
Rfam family: Bacterial small subunit ribosomal RNA
Source: RNAcentral
GACGAACGCUGGCGGCGUGCUUAACACAUGCAAGUCGAACGGAAAGGCCCUUCGGGGUACUCGAGUGGCGAACGGGUGAGUAACACGUGGGUGAUCUGCCCUGCACUUUGGGAUAAGCCUGGGAAACUGGGUCUAAUACUACAUAGGACCACGCGCUUCAUGGUGUGUGGUGGAAAGCUUUUGCGGUGUGGGCUGGGCCCGGGGCCUAUCAGCUAGUUGGUGGGGGAAUGGCGUACCAAGUCGACGACGGAUAGCCGGCAUGAGAGGGUGACCGGCGACACUGGGCCUGAGGUACGCACCAGAGGCCAACGGGAGGCAGUAGGGGGGACUCUUGUCCAAUGGGGGCGAGCCUGAGGCGACGACGCCCGGGGUGGGAUGCCGGCCUGCGCGGUGUAAACCCCUUUCAAUUGAGACGAAGCGGAAGUGACGGUACCUAAAGAAGAAGCACCGGCCAACUACGUG